RNAcentral lists this unclassified non-coding RNA (308 nucleotides) under fungal sp. Its description in RNAcentral is "partial internal transcribed spacer region". The stretch from base 1 to 46 matches the Rfam family "Eukaryotic small subunit ribosomal RNA", at positions 1786 to 1831 of the family's 1831-position model. The record is from RNAcentral. Lineage: Eukaryota; Fungi.
AAGUCGUAACAAGGUUUCCGUAGGUGAACCUGCGGAAGGAUCAUUAACACGAAUUUUAUCCAAUAACAAAACCAAAACGUGAACUUUUCCCCUCCCUAAUUCAAAAUUGUUAGAAAUAAUAUUUUUGUUUUAGGCUUAUUAUUAUAAGUUUCAAACCCCUCAAAACUUUAACUUAAGUUGUUGCUUUCUCUUUAUUGAGACUCAACUUACUAAACUAAAAAAUUAUUCUUUCAUUGAUUUGAAGAAUAUUUUUUUCGAUUACGAAAAAAACCAAAGAACAACUCUUAACAAUGGAUAUCUUGGUUCUC